AAUAUUGGACAAUGGGCGAAAGCCUGAUCCAGCCAUGCCGCGUGUGUGAAGAAUGUCUUCCGAUUGAAAAGCAUUUUAAGGUGGGAGGUAGGGGUAGAAGCUAAUACCUACAAUUUUUGACGUUACGAACAGAAUAAGCACCGGCAAACGCUGUGCCAGCAGCCGCGGUAAUACAGAGGGUGCAAGCGUUAAUCGGAAUUACUGGGCGUAAAGCGCGCGUAGGUGGUUCAGUAAGAUGGAAGUGAAAUCCCCGGGCUUAACCUGGGAACUGCUUUCAUAACUGCUGAGCUAGAGUACGGUAGAUGGUAGUGGAAUUUCCUGUGUAGCGGUGAAAUGCGUAGAUCUAGGAAGGAACACCAGUGGCGAAGGCGACUACCUAGACUGAUACUAACACUGAGGUGCGAAAGCGUGGGGAGCAAACAGG
RNAcentral lists this ribosomal RNA (424 nucleotides) under uncultured bacterium. RNAcentral describes it as "partial 16S ribosomal RNA". It matches the Rfam family "Bacterial small subunit ribosomal RNA", at positions 360 to 776 of the family's 1533-position model. The record is from RNAcentral.